UACGAGAGGCCCAAACGUUAUUCGGAUUUACUGGGCUUAAAGAGUUCGUAGGCUGCACAGAAAGUAGGGUGUGAAAGCCCUCGGCUCAACCGAGGAAUUGCGCUCUAAACUGCUGUGCUUGAGGAACCUAGAGGUGAGCAGAACUGAUGGUGGAGCGGUGAAAUGCGUUGAUAUCAUCAGGAAUACCGGAGGCGAAGGUGGCUCACUGGGGGUUUUCUGACGCUGAGGAACGAAAGCCAGGGGAGCGAACGGG
Molecule: ribosomal RNA, 253 nt
Filed under: uncultured bacterium
Lineage: Bacteria
Description: partial 16S ribosomal RNA
Rfam family: Bacterial small subunit ribosomal RNA
Source: RNAcentral